Molecule: ribosomal RNA, 392 nt
Filed under: uncultured bacterium
Lineage: Bacteria
Description: bacterial SSU rRNA
Rfam family: Bacterial small subunit ribosomal RNA
Source: RNAcentral
AUUGAACGCUGGCGGCAUGCCUUACACACGCAAGUCGAACGGCAGCGGACCUUCGGGUGCCGGCGAGUGGCGAACGGGUGAGUAAUAUAUCGGAACGUACCUUUCAGUGGGGGAUAACGUAGCGAAAGUUACGCUAAUACCGCAUAUUCUGUGAGCAGGAAAGCAGGGGAUCGCAAGACCUUGCGCUGAUUGAGCGGCCGAUAUCAGAUUAGCUAGUUGGUGAGGUAAAGGCUCACCAAGGCGACGAUCUGUAGCGGGUCUGAGAGGAUGAUCCGCCACACUGGAACUGAGACACGGUCCAGACUCCUACGGGAGGCAGCAGUGGGGAAUUUUGGACAAUGGGCGCAAGCCUGAUCCAGCCAUGCCGCGUGAGUGAAGAAGGCCUCGGUUGU